Molecule: non-coding RNA, 29 nt
Filed under: Homo sapiens (human)
Lineage: Eukaryota; Metazoa; Chordata; Mammalia; Primates; Hominidae
Source: RNAcentral
UCAACUGAUAGGGACGAGAGUUUGAGGGU